AGAGUGCCUUAAUGUAAAAGCAGUGAAAAAGUGAAGGGAUUAAUUCAAUUCUCAGAGGCCAUUAAUGAUCCCAUAGCAGGAUUUUGCCAUAGUAACCCUGGAUAUCUUCCCAGCCAAGUAACCUUAAAGCAUCCUUUGGCAGCUGAACUGGCUGGGGAACUCCGUACCUCGCCACCUUAUGUGUAAUUACGUUAGAAAUGACUCAUCAUGGGAGUGACUUUGGAAGAAGACAGGGAAGUAUGUGAGAGCAGUAGGAAGAAGACAGGGCAUGGGGCCAUACAUCGUAUUGACUGUAAAUAUCCCCUAGCACUUGAAGCUUAGAGUUCAGUUUCAGCUUCCACAUUUCUUCAGCCUUUUACCAUCGAUCCUUAACUGGAGAAGUACAGCAUUAAGAACUGCACUUGAAACUUGCUUUGGCGGAACAAAUACGCUGACAGCUGCAGAACCCUGGCUGCCAGCCAUAAACACCCAGUGACUGUAAAUGAAGCCCUUCACAAGGACAUUCACUGAGAAAUAUAAGGCAGACUAAUGGACAGAAGACAGAAAGUAGUGAAACCUUUAGACACUUGAUAUUAAGGCUGGAGUGACAGUCACUAAGGUCAGCUUGCCAACUACAGCUAAGAGGACACCAAGAAGCUCAGGGGCAGCAUGGGAAGCCAGUAUGUUACAGAGUCAAAUCUCAAUGCUUUCUGAACUUGCUGUUUGACCCCUCAGAUGUCAAGGGAAUGGCAUAAACUGUUAGCACUCUGGUGGAAAGAACAGAGAAUGCAAUGGGUGACAACAGUAUUUUGUUUUUAACAAAAGGCACCAUGUAAAAAACUGUUUCAGUCUACCCAGUCUGUGGUUCUGCCAAUCCUGUGUGCUGCAUAAAUAAAUCAACAAUCCAAAAUGGAAUCUAAAAAACCUUCCUCGAAAUCUGAAUUUAAUUCAAGCCAUGACUGUCACCUGCAAUUUUACUUUUUGCAUUGAAGUAUCCAUAAGCUUUGGACGUACUUUCCUGCUUCUUUCUCAGGUGUUUUUCUCCAGUGGCCAUGAUACUGUGUCUGAUUGUGGAGUAGCUGCAGACUUUCAGCAUUCAGUGUGCCUUCUGCUCUGGGGUCUAAUCUCAUUAAUAGGAAAAUGACAAAUGAGCUUCUGUGAUGGAAAUACACAUUUUACUGUAGUAUUUCUUUAGAAUGUAAAUCUCACACUACUGCUGCAUCCUAAUUAUUGAAUAAAUGAAGAAAAAAUACCAGCUACGUAAACAAGGAGAUCAGCAAAAUGACUCACUGAUUAUGAAGCGGGUUGGAGCAAAAAUGUGCAACUGCAAGGAGGCCCCAAGAUGGAGAUUGGAAGCCGCUUCUUUAGGUGAAGUGAUCUCAUUUGAUAUUUAGACUUUAGAAAGAUAUGGUGAUAGUAAAAGGUAAAACAGCGUCACAAAACUUGAGCAUUCUUUUGCAUCACAUAGUUUCAUUAUACUGGAAGGUUUCAGACUAUAUAAUAAUAAUUAUAAUAAUAAUAAUAACUUUAUUUAUAUACAGUAGCACCUUAUCCUACAUUAGCAUGCAACUCAAGGUGCUUUCCACAUAUUAAUCAACAAAACAAUAAAGAUAUACCACAUUAACUUGGAUUUUUAUCAUUAAUUAACGAUAAUUUCUUAUAAAUGUAAGUAUACUAAGUACAAAAUGAACCAGGUAUUUUUAAGCAAAAUUUAACCACUAAAGUGCAAAACAAACCUUCAUUCUUAUUAGAAAAAGGUUUUCUAAUUAAAAUAUUUAUGCAUUAUGACAA
This is a long non-coding RNA of Polypterus senegalus (gray bichir), 1770 nucleotides long. RefSeq lists it as uncharacterized. The transcript is spliced from 3 exons. The record is from RefSeq and is a predicted model, not a curated record. NCBI's taxonomy places the organism in Eukaryota, Metazoa, Chordata, Cladistia, Polypteriformes, Polypteridae.